RNAcentral lists this long non-coding RNA (754 nucleotides) under Apteryx rowi (Okarito brown kiwi). RNAcentral's name for it is "lncRNA (ENSARWG00000000689.1)". Lineage: Eukaryota; Metazoa; Chordata; Aves; Apterygiformes; Apterygidae. The record is from RNAcentral.
UUUACAGAUGGCAAUAACUUCCCAGCACUGAUGAAAGAGCAAAAAGAUUUAGCCUUAUGCUACAGCUGAGGAAUGUAAGGUGCAAAAAAAGAUCACUUAUUAGCUUAUUGAGACACUGGGCUGAGCUUGUGAGACAUGCUAGCCUGGAGUGCAGCAGUGAUGGAGCUCGGGCCACGUGGGCAGCAUCUCAUGGCACAGAGCUGUGACUCUCACUUCAGUUACCCAGUUUGUCCAAGAACCCAGGAGAGAAUGUGCAAAAAGCUAGUAAAAGCUGGUUUAAGAAACAAUAGUGUCAUUGUCGCGGGAUGACUGACUAUCUUACAGUCCUGGACGGUGUGCGUUUCGUGUGGCGCGAGGGAGGGGAGGAGGGGGAGAGGAUAUUUACUGCACGACUCCACAACUUGCUUCAAAGACCAAAAUUUACUACAGAAGCUGCAAUGGUACAAAGCAAGAAUUUGUAUUAACAGAAACUCAGCUCAACUAGAAUACUUAUUUCUAAUGACACUAAAAGUUAUGCUAACAGUAACUACUUAGUAAACAGAAAAGGAUAGCUAAUUUAUACUAUCUGUAAAUACCCAAACGAAUGAACUAGGCAAACCAAUUCUGAUUAAUCUUACCCAUGCGUUGCCUCAGCGGCCAGCCCCAGGGCUCAAUCCCAGGGCAGUAACUGCGGGAGGGCGUCCCGGUCCCGAGGGGCUCCGCAAGUUGGCAGACCCGCUGUCACCUGCGAAGAGCCAAGGACGGCCUCCGGGGC